RNAcentral lists this ribosomal RNA (497 nucleotides) under uncultured bacterium. Its description in RNAcentral is "partial 16S ribosomal RNA". It matches the Rfam family "Bacterial small subunit ribosomal RNA", at positions 28 to 507 of the family's 1533-position model. The record is from RNAcentral.
GAUGAACGCUGGCGGCGUGCCUAAUACAUGCAAGUCGAGCGAACAGACGAGGAGCUUGCUCCUCUGACGUUAGCGGCGGACGGGUGAGUAACACGUGGAUAACCUACCUAUAAGACUGGGAUAACUUCGGGAAACCGGAGCUAAUACCGGAUAAUAUAUUGAACCGCAUGGUUCAAUAGUGAAAGACGGUUUUGCUGUCACUUAUAGAUGGAUCCGCGCCGCAUUAGCUAGUUGGUAAGGUAACGGCUUACCAAGGCAACGAUGCGUAGCCGACCUGAGAGGGUGAUCGGCCACACUGGAACAGAGACACGGUCCAGACUCCUACGGGAGGCAGCAGUAGGGAAUCUUCCGCAAUGGGCGAAAGCUUGACGGAGCAACGCCGCGUGAGUGAUGAAGGUCUUCGGAUCGUAAAACUCUGUUAUUAGGGAAGAACAAAUGUGUAAGUAACUAUGCACGUCUUGACGGUACCUAAUCAGAAAGCCACGGCUAACUACGUG